ACUCAAAGGAAUAGACGGGGGCCCGCACAAGCGGCGGAGCAUGUGGCUUAAUUCGAUGCAACGCGAAGAACCUUACCAGGGCUUGACAUGCAGGGAAAUCUCCCAGAGAUGGGGGGUCCGUAAGGGUCCUGCACAGGUGGUGCAUGGCUGUCGUCAGCUCGUGUCGUGAGAUGUUGGGUUAAGUCCCGCAACGAGCGCAACCCUCGUCCUAUGUUGCCAGCGAGUCGUGUCGGGGACUCAUAGGAGACUGCCGGGGUCAACUCGGAGGAAGGUGGGGAUGACGUCAAGUCAUCAUGCCCCUUACGUCCUGGGCUGCACACAUGCUACAAUGGCCGGUACAAUGGGCUGCGAUACCGUGAGGUGGAGCGAAUCCCAAAAAGCCGGUCUCAGUUCGGAUCGGGGUCUGCAACUCGACCCCGUGAAGUCGGAGUCGCUAGUAAUCGCAGAUCAGCAACGCUGCGGUGAAUACGUUCCCGGGCCUUGUACACACCGCCCGU
This 497-nucleotide ribosomal RNA is filed under the name uncultured bacterium. RNAcentral describes it as "partial 16S ribosomal RNA". It matches the Rfam family "Bacterial small subunit ribosomal RNA", at positions 899 to 1397 of the family's 1533-position model. The record is from RNAcentral.